AGUCAUACUCCAACCACAUUGAGACAUACUCUCCUUGUCCUUUAAUUGUUUAUAAUUUAAUUUUCUUCUGCUUGAAAUUUUGUCCAUUAUAAGCUAUUUUCAUAUUUGUGAGAAAAUGAAAUCACAGAAUUUCAAAAUUUUGGGGACGAAGAUAUACAACCUUCCACCAAAUCCAGUUUUCUGGCAAUGGAAAUCAGAGAAACACUGUUCCUGAAAGCUUCUGUCACUCAAGAAUCCAUGAAACAUUCAUGAACUUCACAUCAGAUUCCAGUUGUGAAAAAAAAUUGUGCCUAAAGAAUAUAGUCCCUUUAUAGAAUUGUUUUGAAACCUACCACAGGUAUUUCUACACAGGAAGAUUUCUGUAUUUGUCUUCUUAACUCUUGAGUUUUGUUGUUGCUAAUAUUGGAUGAAGAGGAGACAAAAUGAUUGGAUCUAGAGGAGCACCGACAAGCAAAUGGCAGGUGCUAUUGUGGAGGUGCAUACCCAACAGUUUGAUAAUGUAGAGGAAGUGAUAGCUUUGUCUCGUGGAAUCUGGGUCGACCUCACAGAGGAGCUGUUAUUUGUUCUGGAUAUUGAACAGUGACAAGGAUUCAGUGGGAGAGAAAGAGGCGAGGAUUUUAAUGCAACUUGUUACACAAGAUGAACCCAAACAUAUUUGACUUUUUAUUUUCAGAAAAGCUUAAUACAUAGUUUUGAAUAUGGAUUGUCCCACAGGAUAAAUGCAUGAAAAAAGUUGGAAAAGAGAAAUUGAAUUACAUCCUAAUUGUAGUGUUUUCUCAGGCAGAUCAAUUUUAGAAAGAGAACAUUGACUUGGAAAACUGAAGAGUCUUGAAACUUGGACAGCCAACAGAAAGGAAGCUAAUAAAUAAAUUUGUCAGAACACGAUUCUCAGUUUCACUUAUUUUGAAUUAAAGGUAACCUGGAAAAUGGAUUAGGAAAACAGCCUAUAAUCAGAGGAGUGACCCCAGUGAGACCCUGUCAUUAAAACUUUAGUGUUGAGCCUGCAAACCUCUGUUCCUCUGAUUAGGCAAUUUACUCCAUUUCCACCUUUCUGUCUGCCAAAACAUUUAGUGGCAAAACAUUUUCUAAUUCUCUAGACUCAUAAAAUGUUGUUUUGAAAAAAAGUAAAACAGAAUGGAUUACCUUUUUAAGCUGUCUAUCAUAAUGUAAUCAGAAAACAUGAGGGAUUAAUAGAUAAUAUUGUAAAGAGGCAAAGGCAGCAGAUGUUAUUUAGAUGAGCAGAAGGUCACAGACCUCUGUUGAGGAUUGAAAGCUUGAGGUACGUGCCUUUGUUCCUCAGUGUGUGUGGAUCAGAGUGAUUACUGAUAUCAGUUAGCAACAUGGUGGAGGGGACAAACUGGGGCUGCAUUUUCACUAUGUUUAUUAUUGCUCAAGGUCAAAAAGUGACUGUGUAGUGCCUCAGUUUUUACAUCUUUGUGUUAUCAAUAUUUUUUUCUAUUACCUUACAAGUUUAUUUUGAUGCUGUAAUGAUGAGACAGUGUUUUGAAAAGUUCUAAAUAAAU
This 1523-nucleotide long non-coding RNA is filed under the name Homo sapiens (human). RNAcentral describes it as "non-protein coding POT1-AS1:21". The record is from RNAcentral. Lineage: Eukaryota; Metazoa; Chordata; Mammalia; Primates; Hominidae.